Non-coding RNA from Peromyscus maniculatus bairdii (prairie deer mouse), 1321 nucleotides. The record is from RefSeq and is a predicted model, not a curated record. Lineage: Eukaryota; Metazoa; Chordata; Mammalia; Rodentia; Cricetidae.
CAUGCGUGGAACUCAGGGACUGUCCAGGGGUGCUGGGUGACCCGUGCGUGUUGUGUGUGUUGGGGCCGGAGCCUAGGAACUUUCGGGACAGGCUUGAACCCAGCAGGCCUCACAGAUGUGUGUGUAAAUGCGCACACACACACACACACACACACACACACACACACACACACAAAGCCUGCUCUGACCUUGCAGCGGGACCUGAGAUUCCACAUCUGGAUGCACGCCGUGCCACCUAGUUGGAGCAGGGGAUUGCAUUUGGGAGGAGAGGGUUAAAGCUAUGCCUUUGGGGGUGGAAGGUUGCCCAGCGGACACCCCCCUCUCACCCCCAAGCAACAACAAUCCCAGCUCCGAGGCGGCCUCCUGAGCGAGCGCUUACACAAUCAUAGCAUAAAGGUUAAGUGCUGGAGACCCAGUAUGCACGCAAGCCCAGCUCUGAGAAACGAGCAGAGAGGGUGGAAAUAGUGGUUUGAGACCCGAAGAAGUAUAGAAAAAGUAAAUAAAAGGCGCCGCCAUCAGCAGCCCACUUCCAGCCUUUGAUUGCUUAAAUUUUUCUCAUUGAGUGGGACAGGCAAUGCAUUAGUAUGCAGAAAGGAGAGACAGCGUGCAGGAAGGUGCUGUUAAUGAGCCCACCAGACUGCAGUCUGCAAGGGACACUUGGAGGAACAGAGAGGUGGCUACUGGGUGGUAAAAAGGACAGCUGCCAUGGCGGACAAUCUGAGUUUGAAUUACAGAGUAAACCUGGUAGGAGGAGAAAACCAAUUCCCAGAGGUUGUCUGUCCUCUGACCUCCACAUGCACACUGUGGCAUGCAACGGCUCCCAUCUAACCAAUAAAUAAAUAAAUAAAUACAUAAUUAAGACAAUUAAAGGCGCUGGAGCGAGGGCUCGGCAGUGAAGGGCACUUGUUGCUUUUGCAGAGGACCUGGUUUUGGUCCCCAGGACUUUCAUGGUGGCUACAACCAUCUAUAACUCCACUUCCAUUGGAUCCCCAUCCAAUGCCCUCCUUGGACCUCUGUGGGCUCCAGGCAUGCAUGUGGUGCACAGACAUGCAUGCAGGCAAAACACUCAGGCACAUAAAACAAACUUGAAAAAUCUAGUAGUAAUAAUAAUAAUAAAACAUGGAGCCCUUCACCAUUUCCACACUGCGAGCAUUAGCAAUCGCCUCUGUUUCCAGGCCAUAGCAAUAAGGUAUUCUCACACACUGACAGGCCGAUAGCUACACACAGCUUCCCUGAUUAGCAUUAACAGUAGGAGUCUUUUCUUCUUCUUCUUCUUCUUCUUCUUCUUCUUCUUCUUCUUCUUCUUCUUCUUCUUCUUCUU